This is a long non-coding RNA of Xenia sp. Carnegie-2017, 602 nucleotides long. RefSeq lists it as uncharacterized. The transcript has 2 exons. The record is from RefSeq and is a predicted model, not a curated record. NCBI's taxonomy places the organism in Eukaryota, Metazoa, Cnidaria, Anthozoa, Malacalcyonacea, Xeniidae.
UUAGUGAAGAAGGAAGCAAUUGCAAAAUGGCAGAAGUUGAUGUUUAUAAAUUCUUUCUCGAUUUCUUGCAGGAUUCCAAUGCUUUCCAAGGGACGCAUGCCAUUAACACCUUGUGCGUGUUGCAAAAAUUCAUAACUGGAUGCGAGCAACUUCCACCAUUAGGAUUACCAAAAGCCAUAAAGGUUAAAUUGAAGCAUGGAUGUACAGAAGGUUGCAUGUGUCGGCCAACUGCUUCAACUUGUGAUCUAACAAUUACAUAGCUUGUUCAUUAUAGAGAUAGUUACAACCAACUAAAAGAGGCAAUUGACUCUGCACUUAUCGAAGGAAAAAGAAUUGGUUUCAUUUAAUAACGAUAAUUGUAUUUUAUCAUUUACGGGGGAAUAGCAACCAACCAAAAUUCAUAAUUUUUUAAUGGUAACAACUGCAUUAUUAGUUAUUAGUUAAGUUCAUAUUUAAUUGUUUUCUUAAAAAACGUUAGGUAACAAUGAAUCCAAUUUGAAGCAUGUUAUUAAUCUUUCAUAUUAGUACUCUAUAGCUCUUGUUACGAAAGAGCAAUGCAUUUUGGCAUAUGUAAUGAACAUUAAAUUUCAUCACUAAAUGAA